UACGUAGGCAGCAAGCGUUGUUCGGAGUUACUGGGCGUAAAGGGUGUGUAGGCGGUUGUUUAAGUUUGGUGUGAAAUCUCCCGGCUCAACUGGGAGGGUGCGCCGAAUACUGAAUGACUUCGAGUGCGGGAGAGGAAAGUGGAAUUCCUGGUGUAGCGGUGAAAUGCGUAGAUAUCAGGAGGAACACCGGUGGUGUAGACGGCUUACUGGACCAUGACUGACGCUGAGGCACGAAAGCGUGGGGAGCAAACAGG
Molecule: ribosomal RNA, 254 nt
Filed under: uncultured bacterium
Lineage: Bacteria
Description: partial 16S ribosomal RNA
Rfam family: Bacterial small subunit ribosomal RNA
Source: RNAcentral